AGCAGUCGCCACGGGAAUACGGAGGGAGCAAGCGUUAAUCGGAAUUACUGGGCGUAAAGCGUGCGUAGGCGGUUCGUUAAGUCUGAUGUGAAAGCCCCCGGCUCAACCGGGGAGGGUCAUUGGAAACUGUGAAACUUGAGUGCAGAAGAGGAGAGUGGAAUUCCACGUGUAGCGGUGAAAUGCGUAGAGAUGUGGAGGAACACCAGUGGCGAAGGCGACUCUCUGGUCUGUAACUGACGCUGAGGAGCGAAAGCGUGGGGAGCGAACAGGAUUAGAUACCCCAGUAGUCCCUGUCUCUUAUAC
Molecule: ribosomal RNA, 303 nt
Filed under: uncultured bacterium
Lineage: Bacteria
Description: partial 16S ribosomal RNA
Rfam family: Bacterial small subunit ribosomal RNA
Source: RNAcentral